UAUAGUGCCCUGAGGGUGCCCCCACCCUCAGGGACCCCCUCCCGCCCGGCUCUGGAAAGGGGAAAGGGGUUUAAACUUACCUUUUUCCAGCGCUGGGCGGGGAGAUCUCUGCCUCCUCUCCUCCUCCUGGGCUGAAUGCGCACGCGCGGCAAGCGCUGCGCGCGCAUUCAACCCGUCGCAUAGGAAAGCAUUUACAAUGCUUUCCUAUGGACGCUUGCGU
This is a non-coding RNA of Pelobates cultripes (western spadefoot toad), 220 nucleotides long. The record is from the annotation of a GenBank genome assembly. NCBI's taxonomy places the organism in Eukaryota, Metazoa, Chordata, Amphibia, Anura, Pelobatidae.